Molecule: RNA transcript, 1779 nt
Organism: Vigna unguiculata (cowpea)
Lineage: Eukaryota; Viridiplantae; Streptophyta; Magnoliopsida; Fabales; Fabaceae
Source: RefSeq, a predicted model, not a curated record
AAUCUUAUUUUUAAUUUCCUCCUCUCCAAGUAAUGCCCUAAGUGCUACUUCACAUCAGUAGUGUACGGUGUGCAGUGUGUAGAGCAGAGUCAUCAUGGUUACGAAUUAAAAUACUUGGAUCUUCUUUCAUUCAUCAUUUCUGGGUUUCUAUUCUGAGAGAUGCUUCUUGUUUGCUUGCCAUGGAUACUCAACAUUGCUUGAAGAUUUCUUUUCUUCAGAUUGCGCUUUUCGUUUCUUCUUCCAUUUCUUGAAGAUGCUCUGUCUAAGUGACUUCUGGUGACCUUAGUCAUAACAGUUUAAACUAACGUAAAAAAACGCAGCCACUUUCUCACUUUCUCUUCUCAACUUUCACCACCACAGCCAACCAUCGUCUCUCUCGGUAAAGCUUCCCCCACCACAACCACCAUCUCUCUCAUUCUUCUUCUCUCUUGUUGAACUUCUACCACAACCACCUUCUCCUUCGCUCUUCUCUCUCGGUGAAGCUUCCUUCCACCACCACAGCCACCAUCCAUCCACCAUCACCACCCCGUUUGGUAGAGCACGACGACAGCCACUGCAGCAACGCCGAACGUAACGCAGCCACGACCUCGCGUUUUCCGACCACCGCACCCACCACAGUGAGAUGGACGAGAACCAACACCUGAAUCAAAGUUUUGAUUCUUCAAGUUCUACUCUUACUCAUUGCAAAGAUUUAGGAACUACUGACAGCGAAUGUGAUAGUUCCAUCAACAAUUUUGAUUCUAACAAGGUAUGUAAUUUGGUAAUAUUUAGGCUUGUAUAUCAAUUUUAUUCUGGAUUUCGGACUUGUAUGUUUUCUUCUUUGCAGCCCUACAUACUGAAUGGGAAUGGAAGGGAGGUUUUUAAACAUCUGGCAUUAGCUCGUGGUACACGACCGCCAUACGACCAAUACACAAGUUAGAGCAACAUCAACUUGUGGCAUGAAAUUUCAAGAAAUAUUUUUUACGAGAAUCCAUAUGUCAGUAAGGCCUCGUUGCCUGACAUACUUUCAGUUGUCCGGGGAUAUUAUAAUAUCUAUAUUGCAGAUCCUUCAUUGAGCAGAUUGAUGGAUAUCCCUUUCAAGAACACUAUUCAUUUUGUGUUUGGGCAUCCUGUGUUUGGGCCAUUAUCUGGCCGGAAAGGCCCUCUAACAUUUGAAGACAUGGAAGAAGUGCAAAAUGCAUGUUCGGAAACUUGCAUCGAUGGGCAGACGGAGAGGCAACCAAUUUUUCCGCCCACAUCAGAUGUCAAGAAAAUGGCAAAGUUGCGGAGGGAACUGGGUUACUCGGGGGUUUUAUCAGUGCAAUAUGGUGAAGAUCUUAAGCUUUUACCUCUAAAAGAUGCACAUAAGCGGUGGUUGCUCAUACAUCAUGGUCCAACCUCUGAUAAAUAUAUAGCCAUAGCAAAACAAGACCCCAAGUUUAGAAGAGAUUGUCUUCUCAAGCUUUUUCAUAAGGGUAAACCAAGUUCCAACUGUUCUAGGUCUUCGAUUGGCUCUCAAUAAAGAAGAAAAUUAUGAGAGUAAGUGAAGGUGCUGCUUCUCCACCUCUGCUGCCCCAACUGGCCUAGGAUGCUAAUGCUAUUAUAUUGUGUGAAAUGUGACAAUUUCCGGUUGCUACAUGUUUUUAUGAUCUCUUUUCUGUAAUGAGAAAACUUCAAUGUUCCAUGUACCUGGUUUAUAUUUUAUCUCACUUUCCUUAAUUUGGCAAAUUGCUUGUCCUGAAGAUUGUUGUAAUCAUUAAUUUCUUUCUAAAUUUGAAGAAAUGGAUUUUGGUUUCAUCA